This 253-nucleotide ribosomal RNA is filed under the name uncultured bacterium. RNAcentral describes it as "partial 16S ribosomal RNA". It matches the Rfam family "Bacterial small subunit ribosomal RNA", at positions 524 to 776 of the family's 1533-position model. The record is from RNAcentral.
UACGAAGGGGGCUAGCGUUGUUCGGAAUUACUGGGCGUAAAGCGCACGUAGGCGGAUACUUAAGUUAGGGGUGAAAUCCCGGGGCUCAACCCCGGAACUGCCUUUAAUACUGGGUAUCUCGAGUUCGAGAGAGGUGAGUGGAAUUCCGAGUGUAGAGGUGAAAUUCGUAGAUAUUCGGAGGAACACCAGUGGCGAAGGCGGCUCACUGGCCCGAUACUGACGCUGAGGUGCGAAAGCGUGGGGAGCAAACAGG